This 460-nucleotide ribosomal RNA is filed under the name uncultured bacterium. Its description in RNAcentral is "partial 16S ribosomal RNA". It matches the Rfam family "Bacterial small subunit ribosomal RNA", at positions 338 to 795 of the family's 1533-position model. The record is from RNAcentral.
CCUACGGUGGGCUGCAGUGAGGAAUAUUGGUCAAUGGACGAAAGUCUGAACCAGCCAAGUAGCGUGAAGGAUGACUGCCCUAUGGGUUGUACACUUCUUUUAUAUGGGAAUAAAAUGUUCCACGUGUGGGAUUUUGCAUGUACCAUAUGAAUGAGGAUCGGCUAACUCCGUGCCAGCAGCCGAUGUAAUACGGAGGAUCCGAGCGUUAUCCGGUUUUUUUGGGUUUAAAGGGUGCGUAUGUGGAUUGUAAAGUCUGUUGUGAACGUUUGCGGCUAAACCGAAAAAUUGCAGAUGAAGCUGGCAGUCUUGAGUACGGUAGAGGUGGGCGGAAUUCGUAGUGUAGCGGUGAAAUGCUUAGAUAUCACGAAGAACUCCGAUUGCGAAGGCAGCUCACUGGACUGCAACUGACACUGAGGCUCGAAAGUGUGGGUAUCAAACAGGAUUAGAGACCCUGGUAGUC